This 467-nucleotide ribosomal RNA is filed under the name uncultured bacterium. RNAcentral's name for it is "partial 16S ribosomal RNA". It matches the Rfam family "Bacterial small subunit ribosomal RNA", at positions 29 to 507 of the family's 1533-position model. The record is from RNAcentral.
ACGAACGCUGGCGGCGUGCUUCACACAUGCAAGUCGAACGGAAAGGCCCUGCUUUUGUGGGGUGCUCGAGUGGCGAACGGGUGAGUAACACGUGAGUAACCUGCCCUUGACUUUGGGAUAACUUCAGGAAACUGGGGCUAAUACCGGAUAGGAGCUCCUGCUGCAUGGUGGGGGUUGGAAAGUUUCGGCGGUUGGGGAUGGACUCGCGGCUUAUCAGCUUGUUGGUGGGGUAGUGGCUUACCAAGGCUUUGACGGGUAGCCGGCCUGAGAGGGUGACCGGCCACAUUGGGACUGAGAUACGGCCCAGACUCCUACGGGAGGCAGCAGUGGGGAAUAUUGCACAAUGGGCGGAAGCCUGAUGCAGCAACGCCGCGUGCGGGAUGACGGCCUUCGGGUUGUAAACCGCUUCCGCCUGUGACGAAGCGUGAGUGACGGUAAUGGGUAAAGAAGCACCGGCUAACUACGUG